This 1398-nucleotide ribosomal RNA is filed under the name Tetrahymena malaccensis. Its description in RNAcentral is "SSU rRNA". It matches the Rfam family "Bacterial small subunit ribosomal RNA", at positions 202 to 1533 of the family's 1533-position model. Lineage: Eukaryota; Ciliophora; Oligohymenophorea; Hymenostomatida; Tetrahymenidae. The record is from RNAcentral.
UUUGUUUACAGCUUAAAGAUUACUUUGUAUAAUAUUAGGUAAUUAUUUCUAAAACUGUUUAGUAUCAAAAAAUACUUUUAGUAAAAUAAGCCUAGAUGUUUAGUUGAAUUUAGAGAUUGUUCAACCACAUACGGGUAUGAAAACUACCCUAUCUUUUUGACAGCAGUGAGGAAUUUUGGACAAUAUGCGAAAGCAUGAUCCAGCGAACUAAUGGAAAUGAAGAAGAUAGCGAUAUUGUAAAGUUUAGUGCGAGAAUUAACAAAUGAGUAAAUUCUAAGAGAAGCUCUGGCUAAUACAUGUGCCAGCAGCCGCGGUAAUACAUGAGGAGCAAGCGUUACCCAUAUUGACUGGGUGUAUUAAAUACAUAGGUGAUUACAAUUACUACUCUAAAAGUCAAUUAAAAACCGAAUACAGUAGUUUUUUUGUAAAUGAUUAUUAAAUAUAAGAAAAGGAGAUUUAUAGAACAACGAUUAAAUGUAGUUACACUAUAGAGCUUGCCAUAAACUAAGGUGCUUUUCUAUAUUUAAUUAUAGCUGAUGUAUGAAAGUACGGGUAUCGAUAAGGAUUAGUUUCCCUAGUAGUCCGUACUGUAAAAGAUGAAUACUUCAUGAAUUAAAAAUUCAGGGAUAGCUAACGCAAAGUAUUCUACUCGGGGAGUAUAAUCGCAAGAUUAAAACUUAACUGAAUUGGCGGGAAUUUGUUCGAACGGUGGAACAUGUGGUUUAAUGCGAUAAUCCACGCAAAAUCUUACCAACGUUUCAGGCUUUAUCAGUAGUAUGGUUAAUACCAAAAAUAUAUGAUUUAGUACGGAAUUGCAUGGCUGUCGUCAGUUCGUGCUGUGAAGUUUAGGAUUAAGUUCUUUUUAACGAAUGCAACCCUAUAAGUAAGUUUUUAUUUUAAAAUAAUAAAUUUUUUUUAAUAUACUUAUUUAAUCUAUAAUUAGAAUAUGUUGAAUCUUUUCAACUUAUUCUUUUAUAGGGGUUAUAGGCUGAAGUCAAGUCCCUAUGGUCUUUAUACGUUGGGCUACACACGUGUUACAAGGGUAAAAACAAAAAGACGCAAAAAAGUAAUUUUGAGCAAACCUUUAAAAAUUACCUUAGUUCAGAUUGUUUUAUGAAAUUCUAAAACAUGAAGAUGAAAUCGUUAGUAAUUGUAAAUUAUUAUGUUACAGUGAAACAAUAGUCAAAUUUUGCACACACCGCCCAUCACGCUCGGAAAGUCAAUAAUAGCGGAAGAUUUGAAAAACUCUGCGCAAAAUUAAUAUAUUAUUUUUAUAUUAAUUGUAUUUGUAUUAUUUUUUAAUGGCAUGGUUGAAAAGUAGUAUCCAAUCUAGUAUUGGUAAUUUGAGUGAAGUUGACACAAGGUACUGGUAGGGGAACCUGUUGGUGGAAUAUAUUU